GGUGUUUCUAAACUAUUUGUUCAUAUCGCCAUGUUCAAUAAUACAGGAUUUUCAUGCACAAGAAAACUUACCUUUAAUUAACUCAUGAGCAAUAUUUAUUUAUAUGCUAUAUUCGUAACAAACGUAAUGGUGACAUUAUAUAAAUUAACGGAAAUGCAAUAUCCACAAUUUGUAUAGUAAUUAUUACUUUCAAUGCAAAUUGGUAUACUGUUUUCCUGGCACUAUAGAAUCCUACUUUGCCCCCUUAAUCGUCCCCCCCCCCACCCCCUCCCGCAGCACUGAAGGAGUUAAAACCCCUUCAGUCACUUACCCGAAAUUAUUAUUUUGAAAUCUGGAGUUUCUCAGUAUCCCACUUGACAUAUGAAUUGACUUAUUCUUAUGUACUAAAUAUUUUUUAAAAAAAUCACACAUAUAAGGAGGUAUGUUGCUUUCUAGCUCUGUUAAGUGAAGUAUUUCAACAAAACCGAUUACUCAGCACUGUAUAAACGCAGAGCGAAGUGAUAUUUAUCAUCCGGCUUUCAGCUCAUUUUAUAUGUUACCAUCAAAGUAACCUCUUAUGAGGUAUGUAGAAAAUUAUGAUGGAUGCUUCCUGUAGUUUAAUUAUAGUAAUUGUGCAUUUAUCAGAAUGUAUAAUGUGUGCAGAAAAGCAUGUAACAUCAAGGACAAUGCAUUUCUAGACUUAAUGCUGAACAUUCAUUUUUGUAUAAUGUUCCUCUAGAAGAUAUUUA
Molecule: non-coding RNA, 728 nt
Organism: Pelobates cultripes (western spadefoot toad)
Lineage: Eukaryota; Metazoa; Chordata; Amphibia; Anura; Pelobatidae
Source: the annotation of a GenBank genome assembly